This 305-nucleotide ribosomal RNA is filed under the name uncultured bacterium. Its description in RNAcentral is "bacterial SSU rRNA". It matches the Rfam family "Bacterial small subunit ribosomal RNA", at positions 333 to 655 of the family's 1533-position model. The record is from RNAcentral.
GAACCUACGGGAGGCAGCAGUGGGGAAUAUUGGGCAAUGGGCGCAAGCCUGACCCAGCAACGCCGCGUGAAGGAAGAAGGCUUUCGGGUUGUAAACUUCUUUUAAGAGGGAAGAGCAGAAGACGGUACCUCUUGAAUAAGCCACGGCUAACUACGUGCCAGCAGCCGCGGUAAUACGUAGGUGGCAAGCGUUGUCCGGAUUUACUGGGUGUAAAGGGCGUGCAGCCGGGAAGACAAGUCAGAUGUGUAAUCCCGCGGCUCCACCCCUGAACUGCAGUUGAAACUGUUUUUCUUGAGUACCGGAGA